ACCAACGUCCCUCGAUUCUGGUAGAGCGAGCUUACGAACGACAGAUAGAUGUCUGCCGGAAGAGCGCCCCGUUCAUUGC
This 79-nucleotide small RNA is filed under the name Sinorhizobium meliloti 2011. RNAcentral describes it as "putative ncRNA". Lineage: Bacteria; Pseudomonadati; Pseudomonadota; Alphaproteobacteria; Hyphomicrobiales; Rhizobiaceae. The record is from RNAcentral.